GCUUUUGACAUUCUACGUUUUAAUAUAUUCAUAAAAAAUAUCGAGAAAUGUUAAGUCCAUAUGUUUUCUAUUUCUCUCAUGAAUACAAAUGAGAAAGUUUAAAGUCAGGAACCUCGUCAGCGUUUGUCCUUAAUCUAAGACAUUUGGUCUUGAUUGCAAAUCUUUGAUUGUCAUUCAAAGCGAUUUUAAGCUCUGCAUAACCUUAGUCUACAUAUUGACUACAUACAGUCCUUGGAUGGUGUAAACUUCCCACUAACACCAUACACCAUUACACCAUACACCAUACACCAUACACCUUUACACCAUACACCUUGUGCCAUUACACCGUACACGUUACACGUUUGCACCAUACACAUUACACAUACACCAUACACCAUUACCCAUUCUAACUACACGAUCCGAAAUUACCCAUUAUGCAAUUAAAUUUAAAAUAUUAGGAUUAUUAUUAUUGUUUAUUUUUAAAAUCCGAAAAAUUAAAAUAAAAAGAACUUUGUUUUCAACUAAUGACCUUUCGUACACUAUUCCCGAUCGCACGUUACACAAUCACACGAUUCCUCAUACACCAUUACACCAUUCCCCUUACACCAUACACCAAAGCACCACACACCUUAUACCAUUGCACCAUAUGCCAUACACCAUUACACCAUACACGUUUUUGGGGAAGUUUACACCAUCCAAGGACUGUAAUACGGUUUAGUUUAAUUAUCAACACCGUAUGUUUACCUCCAGAUAUUUUUUGUGUUGCGUUAAUGUGUCACUGACAGGAGAUUUCAAAUAGUUCAAAACACGUACAAAUUGAACGAUUCCAAUUAUAUUUUGUUUAAUGCAAAUGUCCCUUUAGCAACUAACUCACUAUUAAUAAUAUUUUUGCACCGCCAGAAAGAAAAAAAUAUCCAGAAACAGCAUUAGACCAAAUAAUGUCACUUCAAUCUUACUUCUAGUCGUCAUUUAAUUCUGUUAAGUUAUGUAGGAAAAACGUAUCUUUUCAAAUCGUUAAAACACACUGCUUACUACUUAACAUAAAAUUAAAGUUUUUGUUGCAUCAAAAUAAAUAUAUACAUUUUUUAUUUGUUCACCUGUACAAAUAGAAUGAUGUCAAACCAUUUUAAAGAAACUAUCGUAUUUUUCCAUAUAC
RNAcentral lists this long non-coding RNA (1135 nucleotides) under Mytilus galloprovincialis (Mediterranean mussel). The record is from RNAcentral. Lineage: Eukaryota; Metazoa; Mollusca; Bivalvia; Mytilida; Mytilidae.